AGUUCAGCGUGCAGGCCCUGUGAAUGGGGGUGCCCCGCGGGGCAGAGAAUACGCGAGUGCAAGUAAACGUCUGGAAACAGCGUGCACGCCUUGGUGGUCAGCAGGUCAGCUGGCUGGAGGAAUCUCCUGCGACUGGCAGCAUUCCAUUUGUGCCUGAUGUUCCUGUAAACUCCAGCCACAACCCCUGUGGGGAGGAGGGGCUGCUGUGGAGAAUGAGAUAUGAAGUUGAAAGCUGAUGGAGUUUCACUCUGUUGUCCAGGCUGGAGUGGCACAAUCUCGGCUCACUGCAACCUCCGCCUCUGAGUUCAAGUGAUUCUCCUGCCUCGGCCUCCCAAGUAGCUGGGGAUUACAGGCACGCACCACCACACCCGGCUAAUUUUUGUAUUUUUAGUAGAGCAGAGGUUUCACCAUGUUGGCCAGGCUGGUCUCGAACUCCUGACCUCAGGUGAUCUGCCCACCUUGGCCUCCCAAAGUAUUGGGAUUACAGGCGAGAUCCACCGUGCCUGGCAUCCAUGAAAUUUUUUGAUGAAAAACUAGUUCAUAAUUUAUAAAGUGUAGAUACAAAUGUACUGCACUCAGCCUUCUUCUAUGGAAGUGAAGAUGAGAGGCUGCGUAUAUCACUCGCGAACCUUCCAGACAACUGAAGAAUAACAAUGAAUACUGCCAUCUUCCCAGAGCUCCAGCACUAAUCUUUGUUAAGGCUUAGAGGAAACCACUUUUCUCAGUUUUGAUGUCUAUGAAUCUGCAAUCACUAAUGAAUGGGGAAAAGUCUGUGAAACAUUUAUUUCCUACAUCAAUGAUUAAAAUUAGCUGUUUUUAGAGCAGAAUGAACAACAUACAAAGCAGGUUGGACGACAUCUAUUUCACACAAUUGCAUCUCAGUUUCUGACCUAGGUAAAAUCCUGCAUAAAUGUAGGAGAAUCCUCUAUAUUAAUAUGUUCUGUAUUCAGGUUUAAGAGAUGUGCAUUUACAUUUACAUUUUAUUAAUUCAUCAACUGAUACUUAAGAAUUAAAACUCUCAAAAUCAGAAGACGAUGCUUUUUGGUAAAGAAAAAAAGAAACAGGCUAUAAGUAAAAACAGGUAUAAAAAUUAACACAAAACCUUUGAGUAAUGUAUUUAUCCUAUAAGCGGAAAAUUCUGAGAAUAAUGGAGGACUGAGGGGAUUAAAAUGCCACGCAGUAGAUGGACUAUUUCAGAUUUUAUAGUCAGGGAAACUGGCUUCGGGAGGACAGCUCUCAAUUCAUGUACUUUACGUAAGAGCAGUUCUUUCUAUAGGCCAUAAAGUUGUAGGUGAUACAAUCAACUGGGUUAUAAAAUAGCUUCUUUUUAGAAUGGAGAUGAUACAAAAAUCAAUUUCUACAACCAUCAUUUCCUCCUGAACACCUCUUUCACUUUCAACCUAAACUUACUCUCCCCUUUGGGAAUUCCCAGUGUAUUUCUUUGAGAUGUCUUCCACAUUAACAGUAGAGCCUACAAAGAACCAACAUGCAGAGGCUACUUGUCAAAGGGCACUUUCUGUAGGUAGUCUAAAAGAACACAAUUAUACACAUACACAAACGUGUACAGGUAUACGCAAAAGGGAAAAGGAGAUGCAAGAGUACUGUACUACUGCUUUAACAAAUGCUCUCACCCAAUCCACCUUAUCCAUCUUACAGGAUAGAAACACUAUUUAGGGUUUAAAAUACGCAAAAAAACAUUUUUUUUAAAUAUAUAAACCAUCUAUGGAAGCAUAUUUUGCCUUCUGUUAUGACCCUCAUCAUUCCUCAACUCAUAUUCUAAAAGCCUGAGAGGUGAAAAUCUUCUGAACAGCUGAACCACCCACAGAACCUGAAAAUUAUUAUACAUUUUGCACAUGAUUAACCUAUAUUCACCACUGAGGUUUAACCAAGAACCAGAUUCACAUAGGUAAUAGGGGUCACAACUACUUUUUCAUAAAAUAUACCCUCCUACUGGCCAGGUGAGGUGGCUCACGCCUGUAAUUCCAGCACUUCAGAUUGCUUGAGCCCAGGAAUUCAAGACCAGUCUGGGCAACAUGGCAAAACCCUGUCUCUACUAAAAAUACAAAAAUUAACUGGGUGUGGUGGCACAUGCCUGUAGUCCCAGCUACUUGGGGAGGCUGAGGUGGGAUGGCUUGAGCCUGGAAGGUGAAGGUUGCAGUGAGCCAAGAUCACGACUUUGUACUUAAGUCUGGGCAACAGAGCGAGACCCUGUCUCAAAAAAAAAAAAAAAAAAAAAAAAAAAAUCUAUGCAUCCAUCUAUCUAUACAAACACACAUCCUCCUACUUUACAUAAAUGUACAAUUCCAUGUCUAUUCUUAGCAUGUUUUCAGUUAAAAUUAGAUUACUGAUGUUUACAAGAAGCACGGUCAAAUGAUUUUUUUCAUUUUAUGUCAAUGUUUACACGCCAACCCUCCAGAAGGUUGGGACAAUGGGAAGAGGGCAUUGGACUGGAUGUAAAGCCUGAGGCCAGGGGUCUAGUUUUGUUAGGGUCUAGAUUCUCACCCCAGAAUCUUACCCCCUCAGGCAAUCACUCAAAUUGAAAUAUCACUUCUAUUGGUCCUGAUACUCUACUUCAGUAGUUAUCUUACUUCUUCCUUUGAAUGUAAACCAUUUAUAGCUAAGUAGAGUAUAUUUUAGUAUAAGAACACAGUGAAGGCUGGGUGCGGUGGCUCACACCUGUAAUCCCAGCACUUUGGGAGGCCGAGGCGGGCGGAUCACGAGGUCAAGAGCUCGAGACCAGCCUGACCAACAUAGUGAAACCCCGUCUCUACUAAAAAUAUAAAAAUUAGCUGGGCGUAGUGGCGCGCGCCUGUAAUCCCAGCUACUUGGGAGGCUGGGGCAGGAGAAUCGCUUGAACCUGGGAGGCGGAGGUUGCAGUGAGUGGAGAUCGCAACACUGCAUUCCAGCCUGGGCGACAGGGCGAGACUCCGUCUCAAAAAACAAACAAACAAAAAACACAUAGUGAAGACCAAACAAAAUUUCAUCUGUACUAAUAAUGACUCACGGUGGGCCAGAGCUCAAGUCAGUAUGUAAUAAGAAAGCAAAGGGAAAAAAAAAAUCAUUUACUUCACUAAAACUUCUGUUGUUUCUUUAAAACUCUAAACAAAAUUGACCCUAUAAGUAAAGAUAUUCAUUCUUAUCAUUUUUUAACAAGCAAAUUUUAAUAAUGCCUUUUAUUUCUAUACAAAGCAAUGUAACUUUCU
Molecule: long non-coding RNA, 3203 nt
Filed under: Homo sapiens (human)
Lineage: Eukaryota; Metazoa; Chordata; Mammalia; Primates; Hominidae
Description: HSALNT0329935
Source: RNAcentral